UCCUAUGAUGGCAUGAAAUCUUUGAGACCUGAUCUAUGUUUUCUAACAUUGAUUGAUGUUAAAUAUAAGCAAACGCUGAGGAU
Molecule: small nucleolar RNA, 83 nt
Filed under: Zostera marina
Lineage: Eukaryota; Viridiplantae; Streptophyta; Magnoliopsida; Alismatales; Zosteraceae
Description: Small nucleolar RNA R66
Rfam family: Small nucleolar RNA R66
About the family: snoR66 is a C/D box small nucleolar RNA, which acts as a methylation guide for 18S ribosomal RNA in plants. snoR66 has been alternatively named snoZ269 in rice.
Source: Rfam by way of RNAcentral